AGGAAUCAGAAAUUAAGCCACAGCAUCAAUGAAUUUCUGAAGUAUUUUUACAUAGUUUUUAUACCUUGAGCCUUCUUUUAUACCUUGAGCCCUUAUCUUGAUAUCCCUUAAAAUUGUACCAGUUUAUCUCUUCACUGUAUUGCCUUGUAAAAAAAUAUUAAAUUCUCCUUCGGUUAAAAAGGAUAAUGUAAUCUACAUUGUCUUGUCCUAUUUUUUACUUUUUAGAUUUUUUUUUUUAACAAAAGUAAUACAGAACAUGGUUAAAAAUACAAAUAUUUCAGAAAAAAGCACACAUAUUAUAUGUAACACCUAUUAUGUGUGUAUGUGAAUGUUCAUAUACAUAUAAUUCUUCCCUCCAGGUUUACUUCUUAAAGGUUUAGGCCUCAUAAUAUAUUUACUCUUCUAUACCUUGGUCUUUUCACUUAAUACCUUUACCUUUACAAAAGAGUUCUCAGAGAAGUAUAUCAACAGCGUCUCCAAAUACAGUUGAAACACGAGGCAUAUUACCUUCACACUGACUGCAUGUUUGGCUUUUCUUAAGGAGUACCUUGUACAUCUAACUAAUUUAAAUAGUUAUUUUAAUGACUACCAUUACGCUACCAUCCAUGUUUUUUUUUUUUCCAAGAUAAUUUACCCGUAUCAAUUUUCACAUCUUCCUAUAAAUUUUAAGUAAACUGAACUUCCUAUAAAGUAAUAAUUUAAUAUUCACUCAUGAACAAAUAGUUACAUAGUAUAUUCUAGGUACUUUAUAAUUGGACGAAGACCACUGCUCUCAUGGGAUUUACACAUUAGCUCACUUACUGAGCAUAUCCACUUAAACAAAGUUAGCUUUUCCUGCUAUCUCCAUGUGAUUUGUCUUCAUUAUUUUGCUUUAAUUAUCUGAUUUUACUAUUCACAACUUCUAUUCCAACCAAGCCCAAUCACCCCUUUUUCCUUUUUAUUAUUAAAAUCACUAGUUAUACAGAAUAAAAAGUACAAAGACAAUAUAAUUUAAUUGGAUCCUUUCUAAAUUAGGAAAAUGUGUCCAUUUUAAGAUUUGUAUUUGAUUGUAAAGAAAUCAAAUUAGUUGCAUGUUAUUUAUAAAUAACACAUUCUGUAAUUUCUGAUUUGGCUUAUAAGUGAGCCCACUGUUUUUCUGUUAAUCAUACUCAGUGACUAAGCAAUCCACACCCUUGGUAUCAUCUUAGGUGAGGUAUGUGUAUGUGUCCCCCAGUAGCUACAUCACUUCCAAUUGUGCUGAUCCCACCACCUUCUCUGAAAAGUCACAGUGCUCUCCUUCACCACAACAGCCCAUCAUCCUAGGAGUUGCCAGUACAACAUGCAGCUGGACAAAUUAAGUUCAACCAAUUGAAAUUUGUAGGGAAAAAAAUUUUAAGCCUAACCAAUUAGUUAUUACACACGAACUAACAAUCGCGCCUGCCUAAUACCAGGAGUCAUGCCUCAAGUUUGGCUCAAGUACUCACUGUAGUUGAAGGUGGUAACAUUGUUAUUCUGAAUUUAAUUCCACUAAAAUUAUAUUCUAGAACUAGGACAUACUGGAAGGAUAAUGAACCAAAGGGAUAAAUAAAUGAAAUAAAUAUUGAUAAAAAUAAUCUUAUAUGGGAACAAAAUCUCCAAAUCUCAUCAGACUGAAUGAUUUUUGACUGCAUAUUAUUUGUCCUGCACUGUUUUGAUGCCCUCAUAAUUGAGUACACAAGGCAGACAAGUAACCAGGUAUUCUGAGUCUUAUAAAAUUACGCAAUACUGUCCUCUUUACUGAUGAGGAAGAUGAAAUUAGACUCAACUUUCAGGUCUUAUAAAAACCAACCCCAAAGGUCUGUUAAAUACUUACCUAUUAUUUUGUGGAGGAGUAAACUGUUCCUGGUUAUUAAUAAAGUUAACCUAAGUAAUUAGAGCUGUUAACUCUCAAUUACAAAGGGCUGAUUAUUUAGGACAUUACUUUCCCUUUUUGCCCCCUGCAUGUGAUCUAGCUUAUGGCUGUUACACCUACAAAAGACAAGGAAUGGGACACUGGCAGCAGGAAGACUCAGUGCCACCGGCUUCACUAGCUCCUACUAGCUGUGGGGGUAGCAGGCUUGCACAAAGUGGAACAUGUGUCUGUUAAUAAUGGAAGCUGGGAGGUUCCAGUGACAGAACAGUACCUGAUCUUUCCAGCUGUUUUAUCUAUAGACUGUCUUAUCUUCCUAGAAAACUGAAAGACGGAUGACAGCAGCAGAUUAUCUCCCAUGACCUGAAACAUCCAAAGAAAUUAUAUUAAAAUAUUACUACUGUAUUGUAAAACCAUUGAGAACACCAGUCACAGCCCACUAUGUUUAGGGGCAUUUAGUAUGUAUGCUAAUUUUAAUAAAAGGUCAAUGAAGAAUAUAAUUAGAAUUAAACUGUAUAACUAAACUAUAUAACUAAAUUGAGAAAGAGAAAUAAAUAUCAACAAAGGAGUUCCUUUUUUAAAAAAAACUUGUCAAGGUUCCAUGUUAUUUUGGUCCACACCACUUUUAAAAACCAAUCCAUAUUAUCUUAUCUUCAAUGACUAUCAUGAUCCUCUCUCUCAUGCCUCCAAAUCAAAUGAUAAUAAAAGGGAAAAUACAAAUAAUUUAGAAUACUAAAUUUAUUAUCUAUUCUUUCACCAAAUAAUAUGAACGUAGAGAUGAAGAUUACAAUCCCGCUCUUUGGAGCACAGUCUAGUGGGAGAGAUAAUUUUUUAAAAUUUACUCAAAAGAGGGGCGCAUGGCUCAGUUGGUUAAGCGUCUGACUUCAGCUCAGGUCAUGAUCUCUCAGUCCAGGAGUUUGAGCCCUGCGUUGGGCUCUGUGCUGACAGCUUAGAGCCUGGAGCCUGCUUCAGGUUCUGUCUGUCUGUCUCUCUCUCAAAAAUGAAUAAAUGUUAAAAAAAAAAUUUACUCAAAAGAGUAAGUUUUUAUUAUGGAGGUUGAUACCACCCUACUUGAAACUUAUGGGCAAAACGAGGGCUUGGCAAACUUCUGUAAAAGGCCAGAGAGUGAAGGUUUCAGGUCAUCUGGUCUCUGUUACAACUAUUACCAAACUCAGUGCUAUGAAAGCAGCUAUAGGUAACACACAAACGAGCAGGCAUGGCUGUGCUGAGAUACCGCUUUAUUUAUAAAAACAGGUGGCAGGCUGGAUUUGGUCUCCAGAAGCGAGAAAAAGGACUGAACAUGGGGCUAGAUGUGGGUUCCCAAAUCACCUCCUUGUAUGUCAAAACUGUAUUUAGACUCUGCAAGGCAAUCCAAAAAAUAAGAUAUGGCCUUGGAGGUUAAGAAGCUUUAAAGAGCCGUGUGGGAGUUAAAAGUACCUAGGAAAUACUGUUAAAUAUUUUAUCAAAAAGAACAUAAGUAAGUGCUAACUUUUGUGAAUUGGUGUGAGGCAAAUUCUAAUGAAAGGGAGUUCAGUGAAAGGAGGCAGAAGUAAGGAAGGCACCAUGGAAAAUGAGAACCCGAGAAUGACAAGGGUUGGGGCAUAAGGGUUGACAAAUCAGUGGGGGAUAAAAAGUUACUUAGGAUGUGAUCAGCAACAUACAGGCAGUAAAAAGGCUACAUAAACAUGAUUUUGAGAGCCUUGAGAAAACAAGCCAAAACAAGAGUGGAAGACAUGUAUCACUUAGGCCAGGGCAGGGAGUGCGUGUUAAAAGCAUCUAGAAUAGGGCACCUGGGUGGCUCAGUAGUUAAGCGCCUGACUUUGGCUCAGGUCAUGAUCUCAGGGUUUCUGAGUUCGAGUCCCACAUUGGGUGAGCUUGAGCCCCGCUUCAGGUGAGCCCCGCUUCGGGUAAAAACAUGAGCCCCACUUCGGGUGAGCCCUGCUUCUUUCUCUCUCUCCCUCACUCUGCCCCUCAUGGGAUUCUCUCUCUCUGCCCCCUGCUCACUUUCGCCACCCUCUGUCUCACAAAAAAUAGAUAAGUAAAUAAAAAUAAACCAAACAAACAAAAGCAUCUAGUAUAUAGUGCAGUGGCAGCCAUGGAGCUAGCUGUGUGCUUUCCCAUUGGGACAUUUUUUUCUACUUAGUAUUAUGCAAACAUACACAUUCUUACGUACUUUUAGCUCCUGUUCCUUAAAUCCAGGGAUGCACAGGAUGCCAGCCUAUGACCAAACCCUUUUUGCCCACUGCUGCUUUCUACAAUCUUCUCCUACCCAUGCCCUAAGGCUUUUUACCUGUACCACCCCUGCAUGUCGUCCUUCAAUUAGCUCGUUCCAUGGUGCCAUUUGAAAUAGCCAGUUUUUGGUGAAUAAACCAAACUAUCUCCUUGAAUUUUUCCCAAGCUCAUUUCAUCUAAUUUCCAUUAUCAUAAACCUUUCUAAUAAACCUCUCUUUACUUGAUUUGUCACUGCCACAUUUACUUAAUAAUUUUUAUCUGCAUUGGUUCACAAGUAUAUAGAAUUAAUCACAAUUCUUUUUAAAAAAUUUUUUAUGUUUAUUUUUGAGAGGGGGGGAGGGGCGAGGGAGAGGGAAACACAGAACCUGAGGUAGGCUUCAGGCUCCAAGCUGUCAGCACAGAGCCCGAUGCGGGGCUCCAACUCAUGAACCGUAUCAUGACCUGAACUGAAGUUGGUUGCUUAACCAGCUGAGACACCCAGGCACCUUUAAUCACAGUUCUUAAUUCAUGACAUAGCUCACUAGUCCAACACGGACCACUUUUUCUUUCUUUCUCACGAAUAACGUAAGAAGCACUUACGAAUCUAACACCAAAACAAAGGCUAGAAUGCAACAAUAAGCCAUUUGCUCCCGAUGCCAUAGGAAGAGGAUACUUGCCUCUGACCUCAAGCUGUGUGAUUUGGUUUCACCAAUGGGACAGUAGCAGACACGACAUGAACGUGAAGUGUGCCUGCAUGGUGGGGCUUGCUCCCUUGUGUUUCUGAUAUAACCACAAGAACAUGCCUUAGCCAGCCCACUCGUCCAAUCAAUAAAAGACACAUGGGGCAGACCUGGACUCAACCUAUAACUUUUUUUUUUAAAGAUAUUUCAAAGUUUAUUUGAGAGAGAGAGAGAGAGAGAGAAUAUGGGGAGGAGCAGAGAGAGAGGGAGACACAGAAUCUGAAGCAGGCUCCAGGCUCUGAGCUGUCAGCACAGAUCCCGACACGGGGCUCGAACUCACGAACUGCGAGAUCAUGACCUGAGCUGAGUUGACGCUUAGCCGACUGGGCCACCCAGGCACCCCUCAACCUGUAACUUUCAAUUGUCCAGCUGAGCUGUCCCAGUUAACCCACAGGUAUGUGAUAAAUUUAUGCUUACUGCUCUAUGCCAGUGAGAUUUUUGUGGUUUGUUAUACAGAAAUAGCUGACUGAUAGAAUCUACUUCUACUUCUAUGGUUUCCCCUCCCCAUUUCCCUAUUGCCCUCCGCCCAAGUUGAACAGUAUCUUAAAUUCCAUUCAUCAUUCCCUUGCUUUCCUUUUUAUAUCAUGUGUUACUUCCAUUUCUGUCCUAAGUAUAUCUUUUCAUUUUUAAAAAAUGUAUGAGAAAGAAUCACAUUAUAUACCUUCUGAGAAUUGCUUUUUUCAUUUACUUUUAUACUGUUAAAAUUCAUCCAUGUAGUGGCAUAGUGCUGUACUUCAUUUAUUUUUAUUACUCUGUAAGUAUUCAAUUUGUGAACAUACCAGUUUAUACAUUCUCUUUCUGCUGAUAAAAAGUUAGACAGUUCCCAAGUUUUUGUUAGGCCCAUAGUGGUACUAUAAAUAUUCUUUUGCAUGACUUCUUUUGGCAAUAGGAAAGGGUUUCUCUUGAGCAUGUACUAGAGGUAAAACUGCGUGAUAUGAUCAUGUGACAUGUUUACAUUCAACUUCAGGAAAUAAUGUCAAACUGUUUUUCCAAAGUGUGCCAAUUUAACGUCUAGUGGCAACACAAAAAGGAGUCUAUGUAUCCAAGCUCUCCAAUACUUACUAUUUUAAGAUUUUUAAUUUAUUGCCAAUUGAAUAAGAAUCACAUUUUCGCCCUGAAAUGUAUUUCUCUGAAUACUCAUGAGGUUUAACAUCUCUAUUUUGUAGACUUCAGUUAAUUUCUUUUCAGUCAAAUGCUUUUCAUGUCUUUUGGAGAUUUUUCUGUGGAGACUGUUUUUGCUUUAAUUGAUUGGUAGGGCCUUCUUUAUGUAUUCUGUAUACUACUCCUUCAUUGACUGCAUGUUUCACAAAGUCUUUCAAUAUACUCUAAUUUAUCAGUCUUUUAUUUUAAAGCUUUUUUUGUGUCUUUUUUUGAAAGACAUUUACCUAUACUUCUAACUAAAAGUUUUAAAGUUUUGCUUUUGUCCUUUAGAAACUUAACUCAUUUGUAGUUGAUUAUUUUGUACAUGAUUUAAUGUCAAGAUGAAACUUCACUCUAUUCAUAAGGGCAAGCACUUUUUUCCCCAGCCCCAUUUAUUGAACAGUUCCUUCUUUUCCCACAACAGGACAUGUUUCCUCUGACAUUUGUUAAAGUUUGUGGUUUACUUACUUCAUCUCUGCUCCAGGUUCUCCGCCUUGUAAUUGUUAAGUGAUCAGGAGGCUCUGUUGGUUGAGGUCUUGGAUCAUUAGACCGACCGUUGUUUCCUUCUGGUGUUUUAGAAUGAACUAAUGGAGGGAUCUUUCGGAAGUUGAGGCUUUCAUCAAAAACACGAUCAACCAACUAAUAGGACAAAAGCAUAUCCUUAUGAGAAUAAUUUGGGUAAGUACCGAUAUUGGCAUUAUAAUUUUUUUUAUUAGACAGAAGUUAUUACAUUCUCAAGUAGUAACAGAAGCAUGAUAUCUUCAAUAAACCAAUUACUCUUUCUUUUUAUAAGUUCUUCAAAGGUGCCUGUUUAAUAAAAUAGAUGUUCAUCUACAUAGAUUUUUAAAAUCCAAAACACAGAACUUUGUUAAGUUCAAUCCUUCCAUGGAUAAGAUUUCCCCCAACUGUAAAACAGAUAGUAAAUAGAAAAAGCUGAGCCAUGUAGAUGGACAAGUUCAUUUUACUCACAAUGCCUUACCAAUGUAAAAUAAUGUUUCUUUUUCUUUUAGUUUCCUAUGUUGUUUUUUGUUUUUCUUCCCCAAAUCCAGGUGCCAAAUUUCUUCACAAAUACAUAAAUUGCAAAUUCCAAUUAAGUUUACAAAGGAAA
This 7066-nucleotide long non-coding RNA is filed under the name Lynx pardinus (Iberian lynx). Lineage: Eukaryota; Metazoa; Chordata; Mammalia; Carnivora; Felidae. The record is from RNAcentral.